AUCUCCCAGCAGUGAAUGGGCUGGAAAAGGUAAAAUGAGUGAGACAUACAAACAAUUUUAUUGUCACAUACUGACUUAUUAAGGUACUAUUUUGAUAUAAAGGUACUGAAGGCUAGUUAUGGAAGAUAUAUAAAAUAGUCUUAAUUCCUCACUGAGUUGUUACUGUCACCUGAAAAAUGAGGUGGAGCAAACUAUUUUAGCAAACUAAUAGACUCCCAGAUACCAAUGUCAACCAACAAUAAGGAAAGUUAAUGAUGGAUUUAACCUAACAAAUUUCUUCACCUAUCAAGAAAAUACAAUGUGAUUGUUCUAGGGAGAAAAAUAUACACAGAAAGACAAAGAAGAUUCCAAUACUUAAAGAAACGUCAUUAUCUCAACAAUUGCAAACUUAUGAUAUUAUCAAAGAAAUUGUUUAUUACAUUCACUUGAAAAAUUAAAGCCCUUAACCAGGGAAAAUUUUUUUUGACUAUUAUCUCAUAUGAUUUAAAAUAAAAGUGUUUAAGAC
Molecule: unclassified non-coding RNA, 505 nt
Filed under: Hevea brasiliensis (rubber tree)
Lineage: Eukaryota; Viridiplantae; Streptophyta; Magnoliopsida; Malpighiales; Euphorbiaceae
Source: RNAcentral